CUUCCAUGGUUUAGAUCUACGGUAGACUUAUCCUCUUCAUUUCUUCCUCCUUCUCACUCUGAAAUGGAGAAAACCAUACAAACCCCAGCCAGAUGAAUACUCCAGGAGGAUUACUCGAUUCCAACGUACGCCAAUCAAAUCAUAAAAACCAGCUGCAAAGGAGAAAUAUGCUUGUAAAUGAAUGAUAGUCAAAUGAAAAUUAUCAGUAAAAUAAAGAUGAUAUUGAAGAAGAAGAAGAUGUAAGAAGACAAGUACAGAUCGUUUUACUGGACAUAGAACUACAAUUGAAUUUAAUUUAAAUCUGUGUUUACGAAGAAGAUGGUGUGAGAUGUGAUGAAUUUUAAGCUGAAUCUAUAGUUUAAUUGAUAUUGUCAAGAUGCUCCACUUAAAAGACUACUGAUUUUUUGGUUUUUCAGGGGAAGUAUUUAAAUACUUUGAAGUGAUGGUAGUGCAUAUUAUGUGGCUCCUGAAGUAUUUUGACUGCAUUACGGAGCAGAAGCUGAUAUCUGGAGUGUUGAUGUGAUACUGUACAUUCUUCUUAGUGGAGUCCCAGCCACAUGGCAGUGUCACGUCUUGGUUAUGAAUUAUGUAAUAGCAAACUUGAAACCAACACAGGGAUUUCCAGUUUUGGCAGGGAAUCAAAUACUUAGCUUUUUUGUGUUGUUGAAAACGGUGCUCAAGUUGGUGCAAAUAUCUUAUCUUAUCUGGGAAUCUUUUAGACCAAGCAAGAGCACUUGAUGAACUUAUUCCACACUGGAAACAACAACAGUAUUGUUGUUAAAGGAGUUGUUUGCAAGAAGAAUGUUUCCAACCGGCGGGUGACUUCAAAAAUUGAGAAGCCUCGUUUUCUUAUCCUUGGCGGAGCUCUUGAGUAUCAACGGGUGUCUAAUCAUUUAUCAAGUUUUGAUACUCUACUGCAGCAGGAAACAGAUCAUUUGAAGAUGGCAGUAGCAAAGAUAGUUGCUCAUCAUCCCAAUAUCUUACUGGUAGAAAUCAGUUCACGUUUCACUCAAGAAUACCUCUUUGAAAAAAACAUCUCUUGUUCUCAAUAUCAAGAGGCCUUUGUUAGAGCACGUGUGGCACGCUGCACAGGUGCACAAAUAGUUCCUUCAAUUGAUCAUCUUUCCACUCAAAAGCCGGGUUAUUGUGAAGCAUUCCACAUGGAGAAGUUCCUUGAAGCACAUGGGAGCGCUGGGCAGGGAGGAAAGAAUUGGUGAAGACACUUAUGUUUUUUGAAGGGAGCCUCAAGCCAUUUGGUUGUACUGUUCAAUAAAAUGGUCGCUUGCUUUGGAUAUGCAUCGAUGGAUGUUCACUCAGUAUACCUUCCACCCUCAAAACUUGAUUUCAGCUACGAAAAUCCAGAAUGGUUACAGAUAGAGGUCAAUCAGGAGUCUAUACAAAAAUGUACGGAGGAGUCUGCAAGUGGUGCAGAAAAGCUUGUAUCAACAAACUCAAAUUCCAAGCAAAGUGGUAAAGAUUCUCCCUGUGAUAAAAAGUGCAAGCUGGAUGGAAACAGUGAGCAGGUGGAUUCUUCACAGAUCAUAACACCACAGGGUCCAGGCCACAUCUUUUAUCAAGCUUAAGUUCAAAUGCCC
Molecule: long non-coding RNA, 1595 nt
Organism: Papaver somniferum (opium poppy)
Lineage: Eukaryota; Viridiplantae; Streptophyta; Magnoliopsida; Ranunculales; Papaveraceae
Exons: 5
Source: RefSeq, a predicted model, not a curated record